AUUGAACGCUGGCGGCAGGCCUAACACAUGCAAGUCGAGCGAGCGGCGGACGGGUGAGUAAUGUAUGGGGACUGCCCGAUCGAGGGGGAUAACUACUGGAAACGGUAGUUAAUAACGCAUACUAUCGGAUGAAUCAUAUGGGAUUAGGUCGUCGGGGAGGUAAUGGCUCACCUAGGCGACGAUCCCUAGCUGGUCUGAGAGGAUGAUCAGCCACACUGGGACUAGGACGCGGCCCAGACGCCCACGGAGGCAGCGGUGGGGAAUAUUGCACAAUGGGCGCAAGCCUGGUGCAGCCAUGCCGCGUGUAUGAAGAAGGCCCUGGGGUUGUAAAGUACUUUCAGUCGGGAGGCGUUACCGACAGAAGAAGCACCGGCUAACUCCGUGCCAGCAGCCGCGGUAAUUC
RNAcentral lists this ribosomal RNA (403 nucleotides) under uncultured bacterium. RNAcentral's name for it is "partial 16S ribosomal RNA". It matches the Rfam family "Bacterial small subunit ribosomal RNA", at positions 30 to 526 of the family's 1533-position model. The record is from RNAcentral.